AAAAAAAAAAAAAAAGAAAGAGAAUAUUGAUUGUUAUUUACCUUACUCUAUAAAAUGCAUGCAUCUUGAGCUAUAUAUGCCUUUUACUUGCAGAGAAGGAAAGAAAGAAACAUAAAAUUUUCAUUUCAACAGUGCCAUACUACUUUCUGGCUUGUCUUUUUUUGGUCCUUUCUAUUUUUCUCCAACCAAACGAAGCAUUAAUUAUUUACAAUUUUACAUCCAUUAUCAAUGUGUGCACAAUGCUCAGAAGAAACCCUGGAGCUGAAAUAGGGAUUGUCUUUUAUCUAGAAACAUAAAAGAAUAAAGCAUCAGAAAGCUGUAUCCAUUUCCUUGCUAAUCUGAUUAUGUCACUGGAGAAUGGUGAGAAGUGAUCAUAAUUACUUGCCAUUUGGUGGAAAGUGGUUUGCGUAAGAGUGAAGCUAUCUACACAUGUAUGGAACAACAAAGCUGGCAGUAACUAAACCAACAUUUUUAUGUUUUGUAGCAAUUGCAGCUUGCUGGAUUCCUUUUUCUAUUUGUAAUUUCAGUCAGAUUAAGCUGUUACCCUGAAUUUUUUUUUUAACCGUUAGCCUUCAUAGUUACCUACUGCAAAAUAUAUAUAUAUAUCUUAUGAAAACAAAAAGUAAAAGUUUACAUUGACCCAUUUUUCACUGGGAUGAAUAUUAAAUUGAGCUUACCGAUACAACUUGAGCAGGAUCUCCUUGAGUGCAGGUGAUGCCCUCUCAAAGCAAGCCAUGCUGAGCUCUCUUCUCAUCUCCCAGCCCCCACUUGGUGGUGGAGACAAACUUAGAUAUACGACUGUAAGUUGAGAAUGGAUUUGUCCAUGCCUUGAGUAUAGAUUAAGUUUGACGGUUGCAAUUAUUUUAAGGUGCCUUGUAAGCAAUUACUUCUGUCAGUGUCACUAACUUUUGUUUGUAAAUGACGCCAAAUGGAUCAGCCACCCGUCCAUUGCCCAUAUCCCCCCUAUUGUUAGAGUUUGUUUUUGUGUUUUGGACAAGUGUGGUUUUGCAAUUGAAGCUGAUUUGGAUUCUUGUUUCCCAUGUUUUUGUGUGAAAUUUUUAUUUUAUUUAUUUAGAUUUUUU
This 1082-nucleotide unclassified non-coding RNA is filed under the name Hevea brasiliensis (rubber tree). Lineage: Eukaryota; Viridiplantae; Streptophyta; Magnoliopsida; Malpighiales; Euphorbiaceae. The record is from RNAcentral.